This 401-nucleotide ribosomal RNA is filed under the name uncultured Acidobacteriota bacterium. Its description in RNAcentral is "bacterial SSU rRNA". It matches the Rfam family "Bacterial small subunit ribosomal RNA", at positions 407 to 825 of the family's 1533-position model. The record is from RNAcentral. Lineage: Bacteria; Pseudomonadati; Acidobacteriota.
GAUGAAGGCCUUCGGGUUGUAAACUCCUUUCGGCCGGGAUGAUAAUGACGGUACCGGUGGAAGAAGCUCCGGCUAACUUCGUGCCAGCAGCCGCGGUAAUACGGAGGGGGCGAGCGUUGUUCGGAAUUAUUGGGCGUAAAGGGUGCGUAAGCGGUUUUGUAAGUCUGGUGUGAAAUCUCUGGGCUCAACUCGGAGGCUGCCCGCGAAACUGCAGUGCUUGAGUGUGGGAGAGGUGAGUGGAAUUCCCGGUGUAGCGGUGAAAUGCGUAUAUAUCGGGAGGAACACCUGUGGCGAAAGCGGCUCACUGGACCAUUACUGACGCUGAGGCACGAAAGCUUGGGGAGCAAACAGGAUUAGAUACCCUGGUAGUCCUAGCCCUAAACGAUGAUUGCUUGGUGUGA